This 41576-nucleotide long non-coding RNA is filed under the name Carica papaya (papaya). Its description in RNAcentral is "long non-coding RNA (CPAP_LNC011365)". The record is from RNAcentral. Lineage: Eukaryota; Viridiplantae; Streptophyta; Magnoliopsida; Brassicales; Caricaceae.
GCAUACAACCUCUUCAGAGUAGAAGAAUGACUUUCUAAUUAUCCAAGAAAAUUUAAUCUUUAACAAUUCAAAUUAGAUCAUCAUGUUUAUGUAAACUAGAAUGUCCCAAAAAAUUUAUGUAUUAAAAAAGAUUUGAGUAUUUAUAAAAAAAACCACACUAGCUAGUUCGAAAACAGGCACACAGCUACAACACUCGGAUCGAAUUGUAGUAAUAGCAACACCAAGAGAAGCAGAGAAACUAACCUUAGAAAGUGUUUUUCAAUGUCAUCAAAGAGUUAAAUAUGCAAGUAAUGAACAUAUACUAAUUUGAGAGACUAAAAAGAAAAUUAGUACUCCCAUUUGCAGCACAAACGCAUAGUAUAAUUGCAGCAGAAAUGCCAAUUAGAUCACUGUUGCUGUUGUAGAAACUCACAAUUAAAACCAUACCAAGAAAAAAAAAAAACAGGUACAAUAAGAAGUAAGCUCUCAAAUCCCAAGAACUUAAAACCUAUGAGUAUGAAACCAAUUCAACAUAUCAAAUAUAAUAAACAACUAUAAAACUAUAUAAGAAAGAGUCACCACCAACCAAGAUUCCAUCCAUGGGGAUUCCUUCAGUUCAUCCCCUAGAUAAGUUUCUCAUUCAAGAAAUUGUUGCUAUGCAGAUAGAUGCCUAGAAGAACACUCCAUAAAGGAAAAUAGAAGCAAAGAAACACAAAACCAAAAAUUCCAAAUCAGCUAAAUGUUAAUAUCCUGUCAUUCACUUUUUGAAAGAGACUCAAAAAAUCAUAUUCGCUUACAUCAAAUCUGAACAUAUCAAUAUACAACUAUUACAUUAAAUUUCUAACCAACAAAGUAAUACAGAAUAUUACUUUUUCUUCCAAUGCUCUAAACAAAUCAAUAUGCAGCAUUAUAAUUGUUGUAGCAAAGCCUAUUCCUUAAGUCCAGCCCUCUUUCUUAUCUCACUGAUCUCAAACUUGACUUGAUUGCUUGCCAAUUCUUCACUUUUCAUGUUGAUCAAUUCAUCAGGCUUGAUAUCUCCACAGAGAACUUUUCUCCUUAAGUCUGGAUUCUUUGCAUCCCUCAGGUUGAACAGAAUUGACCUGUACUUCCUCUUUUGACUACCAACACAAGGACCCAUCUGGCUAAACAUCUCAGACUCAACCAGUGCAGCAACCUCAACAUGAUCCCUUAGACACACAUUUUCUCCAAUCUUUUCUCUGGAUUCAGAUGCUACCUUUGAGAAGGCUUCUUCAAGCAUGCCUCUCACUUUGUUUCUUGAUGUAUCUUUCACAUUCUGAGUGGAGGGUUGAGGAUUACUUUGCAAUGGCAUCUUGAGGUUAAUGGUAAGUCCUUUGUUCGAAGCAUUAGCGGACUCUUCCAUCUUCAGAGAUGAAGGUUGAGGAGGGGGCAACGCUGAAACAUUGUCAGAAGAAGGUUGAACAGGAGCCGUUGGCUGCAACUUGAUGCGAAUAGUACUGGACCGCGUUGAACAUUUUGAGAUUUCAGUUUCCCUCUGCUUCCACACAUCGAUAAGCCGAGAAGCUGCAGAGCAAAUCUUUCGACUCUUAUGCUUACAAAGAUUUUGCAGCUUCUUGUAGAUAUUAUGUGUAUUGAUAAGUUCAGUGUUGAAGGGGCAAGUUUCAAGCCGCUUCAGACAAUCAACGCAUCUGGAUAUCUCGGAUGAACCCAGAAGAAUACCCUUGAUGUUUGCAGAAUCGGCAGCUUUCUUAGCUGCCGCAAGAAUCUCUAGUGUUUCAUCCAUUCUUCAAAUAUUUCUUGCACCUGAUAUAGAAGCUUUCAACAAUUUCUUCCGAACAGAGAAACCCUGAAAGAAAACAUAGAGACUGAAUCUCUCAUCUUCUUAUCACAUAAGCAAGGAAAGAAAAGCCAACAACACAAGAAAGAAAACAGAGGAACACAUGGAAGGAAACCCAGAGAGUCUCUUCUUCCUCUUCAAAACGAAAACUUUACAAACAGUGAAUCUCUUAUUUGGAUUUAUGCUUCUCAUCCUUCUUCUUAUAAACAGAGCCUCUCAGUUUUUCCUCGUCCGAUCAGAGAAACACAUAAUUUAAAUACCAAAAAUUUUAAGUGAAUUCCCUAUUAUGCCCUCAACUUACCGUUAAUCCACUUGGGUUGCAAUCUCGGGUCGGGUUCUGUUACCAUUUAUUCUGAUUGGAUUUUAAUUUUAAUAAUUUUUUAAAGAAACAAAAUAUUUUUAAAAUAUUAUAUUACAGAUAUAUCAAGACACAAUUAAUAUAAAAAAAAUUAUUUUAUAUUUUAAUAAAAAAAUUAUCAUUGGGCAAGUUUUCAAUCCAAAAAUUUAUAAUGUAGUUUAUUUACUUAUAAUUUUUUUAAAAAAUAUAAGAUUUUAUUGAUACUUUUUCAAAAGAAAGUUGAAUAAUUACACAUAUAAGUUAAGAAAAUUAGUAUUAUAAUAAAUUAAAUAUUACAGAAAGCAACAAGAAUCUAGUUUACACAAAUAUUAUUUUGUGUAUCAGUUCAGUCAAGAAUUAUUAUUGUUAACACAAAUAUAUAUGGCAACCUAAAAGAUUGUGAACUAUAUUUUUCAAACUUUCAAUAUCUAAGACAAAAUACAAGUACUCAAGAAUGUCAUUAAUUUGUAAAUUAAAGAGAUUAUGUAUCACAGAAUUUAUAGUUCUACAUUCUCUACCUAAUGAACCUACUUGAAAUUUAAACUAUCUUUAAUCUUUCUUAUAAGAUCUAGUUGGUAAGAUAUUUAUAUUGAUAUAAAUUGAUUCUGAUGAAUAUUUUACAUUAUUUUCUGAGAAAUAUUAUAAAAAUAUUUUGAAAAAGACCUUAUUACUUUAUCUAUGAGUGUCUACAACUCUAUUGGAUAUGUACUAUUAUUUUUUCAAUAAAAAAUUUCUCAUUUGUCUUACUUAUGGAGUAUGCAUCUUUGUCAAAUUACGUUAAAUCUUAUAUAUAUUUUUUUUAUUUUGUGUAAUUGUGUGCGUAUUGAAGAUUAUUUUCUCAAUAAUUAGUAUCAGAGCAAGGUUAAAGAAUAAAAAAAAAAUGGAAUACUACUAAUAAAAAAGAAAAGAGGGACCUGACAACUAGGGUUUCUCUUUAGAUUUUUUUAACUUACUUGACCACCACUAAAAAGAAUAAGAAGUGACAACGCCUACGACUUCCCUUGGAAUCAAAAGGUAAUGCAGGGAGUUGUGAGAUCUGUGCGGCAAUUCUAUGAGCGUAGCAGCUUUAUUUCGGUCAGAUAGAGAAGAAGAAGCAUGGGCGGUGACGACACGAUUCCUACGAGAUCUAUCAUAGAUCUAUAAGGAAAAAGACGAAUCAGAAAACAAUCAAGCGCACGCGAUGACGGCGCGAUAUCCACGAGAUCUGUUCUGGAUCUCCGAGCAAGGAAGGAGACAAAGCGUUCUUGUACGCGGUGAUUUGUGCAAGGACAGGUCACAGAGUGGUAUUUUCGAUGUUUUUUGGUGUCUGUGUGCGGCGGCAGCAAUGCAUUUUAUUUACUUAUAUAUUUUUUAAUAAAAUUUAAAAAUUUACUGAUAUAAUCUUAUGUGAAAUUAACCAAUACAAAAUAAUACAAAUUAUUAUUUAAACUCCUAUCAAUUUUUCCUCUUUGUUGUACUUCUUCAUUAAUUUACACUAGCCUAAAUUUUACUUUUUAAGUUUGACAUUGCAAAAAUUUUUAAAAGAAAAUCAAACGAUUCUGUGUAUAUUCGUUUUUAGUUAAGAAAAUUAAUAUUACGAUAAAUUAAAUAUGAUGAAAAACAACAAAAAUUUAGUUUAUAGAUUUAAGAUUGAAAUGCAAAUUGUGUUUGAGAUAUCAAAUUUAACAAAAAAUAUAUAUAAUUAUUUUGAAUAAUAUUGUAUCAACUUGGUAAAAAAUUAUUAUCAUUAACUCAAAUAUUUUUAGCAAUCUAAGAUAUGGUUAAUUAUGUUUUUCAAAUUUUCAAUAUCUAUGACAAAAUAAAAAUAUUCAAGAAUGUCAUCCAAUGAAGUGCAAGUUUUAAAUUAAAGAGAUUAUGUAUUAGAGAUUAUAAGUAUAAUUACAGUUUUACGUUAUCUACUCUGGUCACUAACUUGAUAUUUAAAUUAUUUUUAAUUUUUUUAUAUAAAAUUUAUUAACUAAAUAAAUAUUUUUUGAGUAAUUACUUAAAAUAUUUCUCUAAAAAUAAUCUAUCGAGAGAAAUAAUAUUAAGAAAAAUAUUUUAAAAAAUAUUAUUUCAUUGUGCUUCAACUUGUGAUAUUUGAAUUUUUGAGAGAUACGUGACAAAAAAAAAUUAUUUUAUUAAAAUAUUCAUUUUAAAUUUAAUUAAUUUUGGUUUUAAUAAUUGGAGUAUACAAUAAAUUUUUUAAGAAGCAUUUUGAAUAAUAUUGGUUAUAUUGAAAAAUAAAAUAUGUAUAUAAAAAUAAGGCCUUUUAAUAUUUUUAUCAUAAUUUUUAUAAUUUUAUAAAAAAAUUAAAAAUUAUAUCAAAAUUUUAUAAAUUUUCUAAAAAAUUUUAGAUAAUUGUUUUUAUUUUUUUAUUGUAACUUUUUUUUUUCCUAAAAAAAUUAAAAUCAAUUUUAUAAAUUUUCUAAAAAAAAUUAGAUAAUUUUUUUAAAAAUUUUUUUAUUGUAACUUUUUUUUGAAAAAAAAAAACAGAAAAAUCAUAUUUUUUUCUUUUUCUUACACGUGUUGCGGAGGGCGUACCUCGCUAUUUCUUUCUCUCUUUCCAUUGUUGGGACACCAGAAAACCUCUAAGAGAACGGGGACAAAGAAAGUGGAGAAGACGAAGAUGACGACGCUUUCAUUCUCAUCAGCACCUACUCUUUCUCUCUUCAACAAUACCAACAACAAGCCACAUCUAUCUCUUAAUGGCUUCCAUCACAAGGCCAAUUUUCUCACUACUGGGGACUCGUCCAUCUCAAACGUCUCCAAUCCUCUCAGGUACUAAUAUUGAAUCCAUGGAUUGAAUUUCUUUUUUUGUAAAAAAUCAGAGAAAUUGUUUCAAUUUACUUCUUGUUGUUUUUAUUAUAUGUUCCAGAGUGUCGAUUAAUCACAAGGAAAUGGUGAUGGUUAAGAAGAGGUGUAAGGAGAAGAGGAGUGGAGGUACGGUGUGUUACGCUGCGCCUUUAACCGCCUCUAAUCUCCAGUGGAUCUCAAUUGUUUCCUCUGGGUAUGAGCUCCCUAACUCUGCAUAAUUUUGUAUAAACGUGUCUCUUGUUUGAGAGUGUGAUUUUCAAAGCAUCUUAGAGAAAGGUAGAAUAGACUAGAGGAAGGAUGGUACAAAUACUUGUUUGGACGGCAAAGUUCCUGCCUCAGUUUUACGUAAAAUUACUUCCUGUACGUUGAAGCAGUAUUCGAAUUAGUCAUUCUCUCUUAGUUACCAUUAAUACGUCAACUCUGGAUAGACCUGAACUUGUUGAGGCCGAUUGGUUCUUUUAUAUAUAUACAUAUAUUAGAUUAUUUCAGAUCAGUCCACAUUUAAAUUUUUUGUUCGUAUUAAGAUGUCAUAUGAUAUUUAACGUGACAUCUAAUGCAAAAAAGUGACAAGAUGUAAUAUAGCAAGGUUUGACAAGUGAUAUUAGGUGUUAACGAUAUUAGUGGUCAUUGACUAAGAGAGACUAAUUCGAAUAUUUUUUGAAAAUACAGUAAUUAAUUUACUGUAAAAUCAAGGCAGAGAUCAAAUCGAACAAAAAAAAUGUAAAGGGAACAAAAAAAUGUUGUAGCCCUUGUCUGGAGUUAAUAUUCUUUAAAUGAGAAUUUUAACUCAUGUUGAAGAGAGUAAAAUAAAGGACAAAUUUGAUAAAUAUGAAAUGAAAAUUUUUUAUUAAAAAGAUAUCUUAUAAAUUAAUAUAAAAUGAUUGUUAAGUAAAAAAUAUAACAUAAAUGGAUUAUGACACUUUUUUCAUAAAAAAAAAUUAACUGUUCGAUAGUUAGGGGCUAACAGAGAAUCUGACUAACAUGUUUCUUCUCUCUGCUAAUAUCCUUCUACACCAAUUGUCUUCUCUCACCGAACUAGCUAUUAUCCAAUUGAUGCCCAAUUGAUGCCAGUAACCCAUAAAUUAAGGUCCACAGUUUAUACACAGAUACUAUAAGAGUGUAAUUACACACACAACUCCACCUCCCUUUUACAUAAAAAACAAUUUAUGUAAUUAUUUAUUAAAAUUUAAUAGAAUUAGAAAAGUAAUUGUUUAAUGAUGUUUUAAUUACUUCCGAAGUGAAUUCCAUUCCUUAAAAUACUACCAAAUGAAAAUAUUGAUUUGCAAAUGAGUUCUAUUUUUCCUUUAUAUUUGGGGGUUAAACUCAAUUUUCAUGUAAAGUUUUUAUUCAAAUGGUAAUAUUAAGUGCUAAUUGCAUUUAAGACUUAUAAGGAAUGUUGGAUGCAAAAAUAAUUUUAUUAGUUUGAUAUGUUUCUUUAGUAAUUUGCCUGGUAUAGUCUAGGUGCAUUUCUGAUAUAUGUUUUUUUGUAUAGGAUUUUAAUGCUUGCCAAAGGCACAGGCGUUCAGAAAUCUUUUCUUGUUCUGUUAUUUGCUUUACAAGCACCAAUAAGCAUCAUCUCAUGGAUUAAGUAAGCCUUUAUGGGAGACUUUGUUAUUUUCUCUUUUGGAUUACAUCACACUACCAUCAACUUGUAAUUGCUUUAUUGGGCUUUACAUGUGUGUGCAAGUCUCAGAAAUGUCAUCUUAUCACUCAAGCAGGCCAAUCAUAUUUGAUGAGUUCAUGCCGUUGUAAAAAUAUGAGUAUGCUUUGCAGGGGUGAUUAUGGUAUUUGGACUGCAUUCUUGGCACUUCUUGUACGUCUUUUCUUCUUUAUUCCUGGUAGGUUUUCUUAAAUAUUUGUAUUGAGUUUAAGAUUUAAGCAAGAUCAACUCAAAACAUUCUUCUUCUUUUUUUUAAAGAAGAAUUGAUUAUUGUAAAAGAUCAACUCAAAAUGUUCUUCUCUCUUUCUUUUUAAUUUAAAAGUAUGAGUAGGGGGAACAAAGUUGCAUAAGAUGAGGGCUUGUUUUCCCAAUAAAACAACAAAAUGAAAGCAAAAGAAGUAAAUAGUGAAAAGUCGAAGAAACUUAAAACAUGUGAGAAAUGCCAAAGCCGCAUUGGCAAUACAGAUAGAUUCUUUAAUCUAAGAUUUCCGAAUGCCCAGCCCCCUUGAUCUCUUGGACUGACAAUAUACUUCCCAACUUACUAAAUGGUCCCUGUUCUCCCCUCAACACCUGUGAGAAUCUUCUCAUACACCUUUCUAUCCUAUUUGUUAUCCCUGCAGGAAUCAUAAACGAUGAUAUGAAGUAAAAAGGUAUGUGAGAGAGACAAGUCUGGAUCAAAGUGACCCUUCCCUAUAUAGAAAAGAGACCCCCUUUCAAACUCUUGAGACUCUUACUAGCUUUUUGUUCCACUUUGUCCCAAAAGGACGUAUUAUUUGCCCUAAUGGAAGUCCCAGGUAUAUAAUGGCCCACUUUAACUUAAUACAUCCUAUCUGAUUUGCUGUCUGAUCGAUUAUAUCCUCCUCUACACUGAUCUCGAUGAGGUCACUGUAAGUUAGGUUAAUUUUCAGCUCUAAUGUGUGUCCAAACACUUGGAUGAGGGUGAGUGCAUUUCUAAUCGCCUUAUUAUCAUGUUGCAAGAACAACAUCAAGUCAUCGGCAUAUUGUAAAUGAGAAACCUUCAUCCUAUCCUUUUCUACCCCUAAUCCUCUCAUCUUACCUCUCUCCAAUGCUCUAUUCAACAUUCUAAUACCUACAUCUGUUACCAAAGUGAAGAGGAAUAGAGAUAAGGGAUCCCUCUACCUAACUCCUUUAGAUGCCGUAAACAAUCUUGAAGUUUUUCAUACCGCAACGGAAACAGAAGAUAAACAUCCCUUUAUACAUCUUCUUCACCUAACCCUGAAAUCCUUAUGCUCCAUGAAUCCAUCAAGGAAACUCCAGCUAGCAGGAUCAUAGGCUUUUGCAAAGUCUAGCUUAAGAACCAAGCCUUUUCCUUUAGACCUUGGAGUAAACUCUACUACCAUUUACAAUUAAUGAGGCAUAUAGGAUUCGUCUACCUUGCAUGAAGGCACUCUGGUUUAGUGAAAUUAUAUUCAAGUAAGGUAGAGAAUAUCUAUAUCAUUUCAUUCAUAAGCAAUGUUCAUAAUGAUUCAACUAUUUUUAAGCUAGAUAUCCUAAAUUAUGUUUGGGAUACUAGGUGUGACAUACCACCUAACCAGGAGUUCAUCAUGUAGAAAAUAAUAAAUGUAGUAAAAAUAUGGUAAUAACUGGUACAUGUUUGAAUUUUAUUUGUCUUUCUUGUUGUGCAUGUAUUAGGAAGUACAAUGCUAGACUUUUCAAGAAUUUACUUCAUAUGUUUUCUUUUCCUAUAAAAAAUGGAAUUCUAGUCAUAAAAAAAGCAAUAGUUUACCUCCUUCGGGACUUUUUUCUUGUGAUACGAGCUCAUUUAUGUUUUUAUUGAAUAUUUUGUUUUGCUAAUCCUUGAUUGCAUACAAAACAGCUACUGGAACAUAUUGACCUUGUAAUCACAGAACUUGCCUUCCCGGGGGUUUGGGGGUGCUGGAGGUGGGGGAUGGGGUUUNCUCUUUUUAUGCAAUUAAGGUUUGUGGAUUUUCCGUUUGAAAAGAUACAAAACUUUAUUUUUGCUUUGUUCUUACGUUCAUGCUGUUACCCACUCACAGGGGAAGACAAGCAGGUGCAAUUACUUCCUUGAUGAUUGCAGGUUAUCUGGCUUUCCAGCAUUUCUCACGAGCAGGCAGCUUGAAGAAGGCUUUUGACCAAGGUUCAAUUAUUGCUACCAUAGCCAUCAUUUGUAUUACUGCAGUAUCGUGCUUGCUUAUCAUCUGAACUAAGUAGAAUUGAUGAAUAGUAAGUAAUUUCAGAAUCUUAUUUUUGAACCAUUAGAGAAGAUGGAAAAUGAGGAAGUUAUCCUCUUAUUAGUUUUUUUGUUUUAUUUAUUUUUCUGUAAUGUUCUCUACUUUCAUGUCAAUGAUAUAUAAGCUUAUUAUGCUAAGUUCAAUAGAGUGUUGAAUGUGUAUGUAGACCUUUUGCUUUGUCUACAAACAAAUGCCAAACUUCCCCCACCACCAGUUUUGCGCAUUCUUUUACAUAAAUUAUAACAUCUCGAAGAAAGAGAAAUAAUCAUGUGAUUCUAUUCAUACCUUUGAAUAGAUUAACCUCAAUUAAAACGAUUUUUCCCUACUUGAUGGAACUUUCUUGUUUCUUAGAAUUGCGAAUCCUUUAUAGAGAACAAUGGAAAUGCAUGUACGGUAUUUUUUUUUAAAUAAAAUGGUUGUAACCAUGAGAAAGAGAAUUCUAGUUCCAUAUAACACUUCCAUUUUCUAGUCUCUAGUAGAAGCGUUCCUCUAUACUUUUUUUUUCCUUUUAAUACUUUUGCUUAUGAGCUGCUGAACUUUUUCCAUUCUCCACAUUCAUUUUUGCUGUCCUCAUGAUUAAGUUAUGAUGGUAUCUAGUGUUUAGUAGGAUAAAAUAGAAAAUGAUAAUCUUAUUAUUGUCUAUAGAAUCCUUUUGCCAUUUAUGUCCCCCCUCAAUGGUGAAGUUAAUCCUGAAAAUUCUUUUCAUUGAAGUCAUAAUAAAAUAAGGACAAGAAUCAUGAAAUAUUGACAGCAAAUUCAUUUCUCCCUUGGCACUUGAGAGUAUGGUUUGACAUUGUUGAAUAGUUUCAAUGUAUUUGUAUAGCAUGCCCGAUUCGACUGAGCAUGUUUCAGUUCUAAGACUACCACACAUAUUUGAAAGUUUAUUAAAAAUUAACUAGACCUUAAGACUGGCCUUUCAAUUGCUUGUUUAAUUUUCUUGAGAGCUUAACAUUUUUGCUGCAUCUUGAAGAAAAGAAACUUAACUCCAUCUUUAAUUUACAUUUCAAAUGCUUUACAUUAUGAUGCUGAUCAUAUCAUUGGAGAUAUAUCUUUAUUCUUUAAUAGCAAACAAAUAUGAAGGAUAAGGUAUCUUCAGACAGAAUAUUAACUGAACAUAUCUUCAUUUAUUUUUCAGCUCUUCUUUUAUUUAAAGUACAAAGCAUGAUUUCACCUCUUGUGUUUAACAUGAUUGCAUCUCAAUAUCUGUGAUUUUCUUUUAGCAGUAUAUUGUGAUUUGAUUAUUUUUUUAUAUACAUUGAACUGUCAAUUUCUCUUAGGAUAUUUAUACUUCUUUGAACUUAUAAACAAGAAGAAGGAGAAUUUCAAGGCUAAACAAAUCAAAUUACGAAAACAAAACUCAAUAAUAGUUUUAUAUAUAAUAGUAGAAAAACCAUAUUAAACUAUAACUAGACCAGACCAUAAUAAGUGAAAUGUUAUUUACCCAUAAAGCUCUGUUAUGUCCAUCAAAAUAUAUUUUAGUUUUUUUCUUAGAUUUUUAUAUAUAUUUAUAAGAUGUAUAAUGAUGUGUCUAUAUAUGUUUCAAAAAAAUGAUGAUGUGUCUAUAUAUCGUAUUCAAGUACAAAUUAGUUCUAUAAAAGCAUAUUUAGGAAAAGCUUUUUAUUCAUUGUGAAUUCUUGUUAUAUUUUCACUAAUUCUCUAACCAUUGUUUAUUUCAUUUUUAACUCCCACAUAUUUUUAGAUAUAAUAGAUGAAUUUAGAUAAUUUAGACUGCAUAAUUGUUUUCAUUUACCAAACAAUGCUUAAAAUUCAAGUUUAGUUUGUGCUCUUUGAAGAACAUGAUAGGAUUAGAACUUCCUACUGCUGUACUGGAAAUGUGUUUCUGUUAUUAAUGCAUUUUGUGUAGUGACUGUAGAUAACAAGGAUAUCAUAUUUUCACUGUGCUAUACGGUUGUGUGGAGGUGGUCUUUGAUUGGGAUUCUCUACCUGUGGUACUAUAUGGAACAUUCCCUUCCAGUAAGCUAGCUGUCUUUUUUUUUUGUAAUCAAUAUUAAUCCAAUGCGCGAUAAACAUGACAACACAUCAGUUGUUUGCUUAUCGUGCUCAUUAGUGUGUCCUAGUUUGUUAACCCGUUUUCUAGUAGGUCAACAAAUAAGAUAAGAUUCUGUAGGAUUCUUACUCUUUUCGGAGCCAUCAAUUAAUCCAUGCUUUUCUAAGUCUCUUUCAAGAAAACAGUCCUAUGGCAAGAUGGCCUUUUCUAAUAAUUUAUUGUGCUAGCACUGCGUACAAAGUAACUAUUUAAAAUUGUCUACAAGAACCUAAUAGAUUCUAACUUCCCUUCAUUCCCGAAGGCUUCUAGUCUACUAAAAUGCACGUGACAAUGAAGUAUAGCGACACAACUUAUAAUGAGANNNNNNNNNNNNNNNNNNNNNNNNNNNNNNNNNNNNNNNNNNNNNNNNNNNNNNNNNNNNNNNNNNNNNNNNNNNNNNNNNNNNNNNNNNNNNNNNNNNNNNNNNNNNNNNNNNNNNNNNNNNNNNNNNNNNNNNNNNNNNNNNNNNNNNNNNNNNNNNNNNNNNNNNNNNNNNNNNNNNNNNNNNNNNNNNNNNNNNNNNNNNNNNNNNNNNNNNNNNNNNNNNNNNNNNNNNNNNNNNNNNUAAGCAUAGAAAGAGUAGUUAGCAGAAGAUAGAUAUCCUUAACAUAUACAACUCAGGUCAAUGAUUAUAGAAUGUUAAUUUACAAAUUAGCAUAAGUAGAAAAUUUGUUUGAAAAGUUUAGAUUUUUAUUGAAUUCUAACUUCGAAUAUAAAAGUACAGCAAAACUGAAAUACAAAAAAAUGGCUAAAGAAUCUGAUAAUAUCGCUGAAAAAUAGCAACAAACAAUAGCUACUUUUGCAACAGAAAGACAAAAUCAAAUCUACUGAUAAUCAGCUAAAUACUAUUACUAAAGUUGCCGAAUUCAUCUUACUUGGAUCAGUGUUGGUAAGUUGUGCUGUUCCUCCAAAAACACAGCUGGUAGGAGCUGGAUUCUUCUGGUAGUAGUCAUUGAAUGCAUAAGAAGCAUGGUCUCGCAGAUUAUUGGGAUCAAAACAACUUGCCCCUGGUUGAAGUGCAGAACAGUCUGCACCUCCAUAGCCACACGCAUAAUCAAGGGCUACUUGCAAUGCAGUUGGGGAAGCAGUCGGGCUUGCAAUACACCAUUGGCCUCCUGAUGUUACAGGUGUGGGUGUAGUUGUCUCGGCAGGUGGAUUUAUUGGCUGUACAGUAGGUGUUGUUGGAUUCACAACGGGAGUUGUUGGAUUCACGACGGGAAUAUUACCCGGAGCUGUAUCCAGUUCAUCUUCGGUGAACAAAGGUGAAAUGAGGAUCCGAUUACGAUGACCAUCUAAUUCAUUCUGUUCUCUAAUUGCUUCAGGCGAAGGUUUCCCUGCUAUACUUGAACCUGAAGACACAAAGAGGUACAAUGACUUCUUUCCUUUUUCUUUGAUUAUUUAAAUGCUCACAAAUUUUACUGCUGAACUCAAAUCACUCUUGAGGUAUUAGUUUUAAACCAAAAGAACAAGAUAAAAGAAAGGGAAAGGAACAAAAAAACUGGCUGCAAAGGUUGAGACAGAAAAAGUUAGUGAAGUUGCUGCUUAUGCAUUGUAAGGUCUUUAAAGUUACAAACACCAAAGGGACUCCAAUUUCUAAUCACAACACAAUGAGAUUGGUAAUUAGGGUUUAUGAUUGUUUAAAAUAGAGCUGCAGCUACUUAUAUAUGUAUAAAAUUUUUAACAAACAAGUUUGCUGAACUAUUUAUUAACAAUGUGUUUAUGCUUUUAUCAGAUUAUUAAACUUAAUCAUUUUUUUUUUUUGCAAUUUUCAAAAGAAUAGAAAGAAAAAAAAUAUAAAAAUGUAUUAGAAUUUUUAUUAUUUCUGCCAAAAUUUCCAGAGUUAGGAAAAUUUUUUGGGAGUUAAAUUUUAUAUCAUCAAUGGUUUAUUUCUUUAUAUAGAUGUCUAUGUGUGUAUAUAUAUAUAUGUUUGUAUGUGUGUGUUUGUGUGACUAUACAUUCAUAAACAUGUGUGGACGUAUGAAUGUUGCUUUUAAGUAUGUAAGCUGUUGAGUUUUUGAAGAGACAAAUUUUUGCUAUUUUCAAAUUCAUCUAUGUUAUUAAGGAUUAUUGUUAUUUUCAUUUAUUGCACUCUUUUCGAACGCAUAAAAGUAAAUUAUUGAAGAAAAUCAAAGUUAGAGAACAAUUAUAUCUGUUUUGUUAAACUAGAAAGAAAUUAUUUGACAGGAGAUGAAGAUUUCUAACAUAUAUUCUAUAGAUACAUACAUACAUAUAUAUGAAAAUUAGAAGAGGAAGAGGAAAUGACCUGAAUUGAUUAGAAGGUGGAGGAGGAAGAGUGCAAGACAAGAGGCAAGUGGGGAAGCCAUGUGCAAUUGAGCUUCAAGAUUUUGAAAGAAUGAAAUAUAUAAUAAAACUAGGCCAAUCAAGAAGUCCUCUACCAUCCUUAGAUAUCUUAUAUACGUAUAUAUGUAUAAAUAAUUAUAAUUUUCAAGAAUCAAAGCUUCCUUCACACCAAGAGAGAAGGAAGAAUAAAACAAAACUUGAGAAAGGAGGAAUUGGGUAGUCGAAAUUGGCAAGCAAGGGAAGGUGCAAAAAAGUAGUAAAAGCUAUCUUAUAAGAAGAGAGCAAAAGCUAAAAAGACUUAUAUGUUGGGAAUUUAAAUCUCUUGAUGUUUCUCAUUAUUUAUAUACAUGUAGGCGCAUAUAUAUAUAUAUAUAUAUAUCAACCCUCUUUUUGUUGUUUAUCUUUUCACUGUUUUCUGGUACUGAAUCAAAAGUUAAAGCUCAGAUAUUUGAUGCGGUGGAACUGAAAAAAUAUUUAUUCCCAUUAGGUUCUGAUUUUAAUCAGAUUGACAUUAAGUCUCGCCUUAGGAGUCUUAAGAUCUGAUCUGAUUUAAUCAGAAUUUUAAUUUUACAGUGAUAUCAACAAGAAUUGAACUUACUAAUUAGACUAAUGCUUGCUAGUAGUAAAUUAUUCUUAAUAAUUUGUUAGUAAAGUAAAAUAAAAAUGGUUUGUUGGAAAGUUAAAGAUGCAAACUGUCGGAAGACAAGAUAAUUUGGUUCCUUGUAAGCAAAACUGUGAAGUUUUGUUGCCUUGUAUAACCUUACUCUUUCUUUUAAACUAAAAAUUAUAUAGGUAUGUAUAUGUGUAUACACACACACACACACACACAUAUAUAUAUAUAUGUAUAUGGGUUUAUAACUUACACGAGAAUUUAUGAAUUGUUUGGUUUAAUUAAGGUUAGGUUUAAUAUUUAAAGAAUAAAAUUAGAAUUGGAUUCUUUGAGUUAAAGUUUUUUGUUAACAAUGUAAAUGACUUAUGUUCUUCAAAAAAAAAAAAAAAAAAGUAGAUUGCUCUGAAAAUCCUAAAGUGUGGAUAUGUAAGAACCAAAUCCAUUAUUUUAAUAAAAUUUACAACUGAACCCAGUUUUUAUGUUAUAUUUCCUCUAGAGAAAUAUGUGUAAAAAUAUGUAAAAGAAAGAAGAUAAUAAUAAAUUUUAUUAAUAAUGAAGGAACUAAAUUAUUCUUCUUUCCCACUCAAAAUUUUUCUUACUUAAAAAAAGUAACUGAUAUUUAAAAGAGAGAGAGAAAAAAAACAUUCAUUACUAUUACAAAUGGAAAAAAAAAAAGAAAGAUGAUUGUAACUGGUUUGACAUUUACUACAAAAUAAUUAUAAUUUAGAACAAGUUGAUGGAAUUUUGAAUUUUGGAGAUAUUUUAUCUAUAUUUUGGAAUAUUUGAUGUUUAUUCUAGUAGGUAUUUUAUGUAUAUCUUAGGGAUAUAAUUUAUGUAUAUUGUAGAAAGUUUUUGUUUGAAAUUUAUAUAUAUAUAUAUAUAGGUUUACUAAUUUAAUUAUCGAUGUACUUUUAGAUUAUCAUAGUAGAAUAUUUUUUUGUCGAUCUUAUCCGUGAAUGUAAUUAUACUUUCGAAUCAUGUUAAAAUUAUGUUUUUUUUUUCUUAUUUCUUUUACUUUAUUAAAAUUGUGAGCGAUUUAGAUAUUUAUUUCUCUAACAUAAUAUAUUUAUUAUCUGUAGAUAUAAGAGAUGAAUAUGCAUUAUUUAGCAUAUAGGAAUAGAUACUUCACAUUUCAAAAUGUUUGAUUGGGUUCUAUAGACAAAGGCUAGGCAAUAUAUCAUAUAUAUAUAUAUAUAUCAUACUUUAUAUAUUAUAUAAUAUGUAUAAAAUAAUUAUUAUUAACGUAUCAGAAAAUAUCAUAUUGGAACAAACUAGACUUUUUACGAGAAUUAGAAUAAACACUAUUUGAUCUAAUUCAAUUCAGAUCGAACAAACCUGUCCAAUCUAAUUUUAUGGUGCAAACUGGCUAAAACAUACAGAGGACUUGCAUACUUGCUUCUACAAUUUCAUAAACCCAACUAAAAAGAUUACAAAAAAAUUAGAAAAUUCUACAAAUAUAGCCUGUUUUCUAUAAUUUCAUAAACCUAAUUAAAAUAAUUACAAGAAGAAUUAGAAAUUAAAAUGUAUAAUAACAUAAUAUAGACAACCAUGAGGACAAAUAAAGUGAUUGGUUCAUCCAAGUCCAAGUAUAGAUAUGAUGAAAAAAGUGAUUGCAUAUAAGGACAGUUAUAACAUUCUCACCCACUACAAACACCUCUUGACAUAUAAUGCAUUCAUCAAAAUUUCUACCAAAACAAGCAGGAAGAAGAAAGGAUUCAACUGUGAGAUAGAUAAUAAAAGUGCACACCCUUUGUUUCUCUCUCAUCACAUUAGUUUCUUGUUUCGAUAAUGAACAGAGCAANNNNNNNNNNNNNNNNNNNNNNNNNNNNNNNNNNNNNNNNNNNNNNNNNNNNNNNNNNNNNNNNNNNNNNNNNNNNNNNNNNNNNNNNNNNNNNNNNNNNNNNNNNNNNNNNNNNNNNNNNNNNNNNNNNNNNNNNNNNNNNNNNNNNNNNNNNNNNNNNNNNNNNNNNNNNNNNNNNNNNNNNNNNNNNNNNNNNNNNNNNNNNNNNNNNNNNNNNNNNNNNNNNNNNNNNNNNNNNNNNNNNNNNNNNNNNNNNNNNNNNNNNNNNNNAAGAUACGAAAUAUUUGAAUUUAUUAACAAUGUACGUAAAAAAAAAAAUGUUGUGGAAGUACAAUUAAUAUAAUUAUUCUAUAAUUAACAAAAAAAAUUUAUUUGGUAAUAUUAUGUGUAUCUUUAGCAAGUAAUUAAAAUUAAUUAAUAAUUUUUAUUUAUUUUUUCUUCAUAAGUACAUUUUGUUAUUUUAAAAAAGUCAACCAUGUAUUUACUUUCUUAAAACAAAGUCAAAUAUAUAUUUUAAUAGAUUUUGUGGUUUUUUUUUAAAUAUGAUAUUUUCCAUAUAUAUAUAUAUAUAUAAUUCCUCACCACUAAUUUUCUCCCUCGCUCUCUUUCUAAUCUUCAACAUGGAGGAAAAAUUACUACACGGCCCGAACAUAUCAUUCUAAGAGCAGUGGAUUUCUGGAUUCAUGGAGAAAGAACCGCUUCUCUCAUUUUCCAGCCCAAGAAUGAAACCCUCACCUCCUCUCUUUACUCUCCCGGAGGAAGAUGAAAUCUCCAUACCAAUGCCUAUCAGCCCAUCACAGCUCAAAGACCGCCUCAUCUUUGGCCCUUGUUCUUCUCCACGAGAUUCAUCUCCCAUUGUUGAUGCUUUAACUUUGUCCUUAAAUUCCCAAAAAUCCUCCGCCAUACCUUCACCUCCUUCUUCUUCUUUUUCACAAGAACCGCCCCCAAUUCAAGACCCAGUUUCUGUUUUAGAACCAUUCAUACCCAAACAGCAACUCCAACAAGAGCAGCAGCAACAGCAACAAUCGCAGUUACAAUCACCACAAGCUUGGUUGAUUGAUCCUAAUUGUCCAUGGACCAAGAGUAAUCUCCACAGGUCCAAAACUGCACCCGCCAUGGCGGUUCUCAGUGAUGUGAUUCAUCCUCCAAUUACGAAACCCAAAUUCGCCACACAGUCUAUUAUUAGGCAAGCCUUUGUUCUCUUGGUGUUGUAUUUGUCAUUGGGAGUGUUUAUAUAUUGGUUUAAUCGUGAUAAUUUCAUUGUUCACGAGACUCAUCCUGUUGUUGAUGCAUUGUAUUUUUGUAUUGUGACGAUGUGCACAAUUGGGUAUGGUGAUAUUACCCCUAAUAAUGUGUCUACCAAGUUGUUUUCUAUAAUGUUUGUGUUGGUGGGAUUUGGGUUUAUCGAUAUAUUGCUUAGCGGGAUGGUAAGCUAUGUGCUUGAUUUGCAAGAGAACUACAUGUUAAGAGCCGUUAAGCGUGGGACUCAGAAGGAUAAUGCAGGGUCAUACAUCAUUGAUGUGAAGAAAGGGAGAAUGAGGAUAAGGAUGAAGGUGGCAUUGGCAUUGGGUGUUGUGGUGCUUUGCAUUGGAGUUGGUGUCAGUAUUAUGCAUUUUGUUGAGAGGCUUGGAUGGUUAGAUUCAUUUUACCUUUCUGUUAUGUCAGUGACAACAGUUGGGUAUGGUGACAGGGCCUUUAAGACUUUGUCAGGUCGAAUUUUUGCUUCAAUUUGGUUGCUUGUCUCUACCCUUGCGGUUGCACGAGCAUUUUUGUAUUUGGUUGAGGCUAGGGUGGAUAAGCGGCAUAGGACGAUGGCAAAGUGGGUACUUGGUCAGGACAUGACNNNNNUGAUGCCAAAAGAAGCAGCAAAUAAUAUGCAUUUUGAUACGAUGUAAAUGUCAGAUUUCAUGCCUUCAUAUUUUAGAAAGCUUUAUUGAAUUAGAUAGUUUGCAUGAUACUAGCUUUCUCAUCUACUACAUGUGAAGAUUUAGAAAAUUCUAAUCUAUUCUGAAGGUUUCAUGGACUAGUUUUUAAGUUGGCAAUUAGUUGAUGCAUUAUGUCUUGUUAUAUACUCUAGGAUUGGUUGUUAAACAACAUAUUAACUAUUGCUGCAUUUGUAAUUGAUAAGUAUAAAAUGACUUUUGAAUGAUAUUGGAUUUUUGUAUCAGAUCAUUCAAUGCAUAAGAAAUGAUAUUCUUGGAAUGCCAUCAAAUUCCUUGUUGAUUGUUGCCUCUUUCUCCCUCACCAGAUGAAAUGCUUCAUAAUAAUUUUUUUUUUAAAAUAGAAAUGGCUCAUAAUAAAUUAAGAUAUAGAAACUAACAGAAGCUGAAAGCGUGCUUGUUGAGUACCACUUUGCCCAUAUCAUAAGUGCCUUACACCCCAUGGACAAAGGUGUUUGCUACAACGUGAAUUUACAAUUAAAUGGAUUGCAUCAGUGCCUGCUGUAGUUUUUCUUUCCAAUGUUUGAAAUCCCUUCUGUAUUUUAAUUAGAAAUUCUGAGGUUAGAAUAAUACUAUUACGAUAAUAGUCUAUAUUCACAUUUAGGUUUUAAGUGAUUGAUAUAAUCUCUUUUCUAGAACAUCAAGUUGGCUGGGAAGUUCUAUGUGUGCUUGGAACAUUCUGGCUCAAAAUUGGCUAAUAAGUUUCAUAGUCAAGGCACACUAGUUGUCAUGCCUUGUUAGUGUUGGAAUUUAAUGUAUUUCUACUAAGAAAGCAUUUUGUAAAUUAUGUAAUUUUUUAUGCAGAAGAAAAAGAUUCUAAUUUGAAACAAAUUUAUAUUUAAAAUAUAUUUUUUUAUAAUUGUUAUUCUUCGUAUUUAGUACUUCUAAUUUAUUUAAUCUGUUUAGGUUUAUCGUAAGUAUUAAAAACUUAGGCUAUUAAUUUUUUUGAGAUAAAAACUUAGUCUAUUAAUUAGAUUUAACAUAUAGAAAUUUUGAUUUUCUUUUAUUAUUUCAAUAAUUUUUUGUUGGUUGUAAUUAAUUCCUAUGUAAAGACUAGUAGCUAUCAAGAAGAAGAAAACUGAUGAUGAAUUAAGAAUUUUUGUACUAGAUUUUUAUUCCCUGUUAUCGCUUAUUCCUUUUCUGGUUUUUGCUUUGUCAAACCUAUUCUGCUCAGUCUACAUUUCUCUUUAUUUCUUCACCUGAUUUCCAAUUUCUCCUAGUCUACAUCUAUAGUUUUUCUUUCUCUCUUAUUUUAAAAAAAUAGUUUUUCUUUUUCUCUUAAAUUUUCUCCCUUUCUAAGCGAUGCUGAUGACAAAUUAGUAUCAAAGCGAUGUGUCUUGCAUAAGUUGGUGCAAAGCUAGGUUUCUAUCCUCACAUUCCUCACUAAAUUUAUCAUUUCCUUUAAGAAAAAUUAAGUUUCCACAUCCUACCAAAAAAAUUCUUGCCAAUAAAAGUAGUUAUUGGAAAGAAAAGGAUGUCCAAGACAAAAACAAAAGCAGCCCAAAAGCCAUGAUCAUUAUCAGAUAUAGCCCACCACCAGGAGGAAGCUGACAUUGCCGCUGUAGUUAGGCUAGAGAGGUCCAGCCAAUCCAUACCAGGAGCACCAACUGCAAAAUAUGCUAGAAAAUGCAUCAUUUGCUCCGAAAAGCUGAAAUAUAGGUAACUUUCUUAGAUCUCUGUCUUCCUAGCUGUCAAAAAGAAGACCAAGGCCUGAACUUCAAUCACCAUUUUGAAAACGAGCUUUCAGUAGGAAGCUUGACCCUCACCAGCUCACUCUUUCAUUAGUUCGGUUCAGGCUCUUGUAGACUGGUGUUCCCUCCUUGAGGCUGGUCCCUAUGAUUUUGUAGCCUAUUUUAUCAACUUUUGAAGUUAGUUGGUUAAAUAAAUGCAUUUACUCGGGUUUAGAGUAGAUCGUGGUUAAAGAUGAUAGCUUUGACAUGUAAUUAAGCAAACUCUUGGUUUCGAUUGAUUAUUUAACCUACUCGGUUAUAUAUGAUAUAUUGUAUUGAAUAUUUGGUUCUUUUGAAUACAUUAAGUGUUGAGAUACAUGCACUAUUCACAAAUAUUACAGAUAUCCAAUAUCAGUAAUUAUUACAUAAGAUUUCUUUGAUAAAAAAUUUCUUCCAAAUUAAUAUAUUUUGUUCUGCAUCAUUCUAUUCCACUUAGUGAAAAUUCGACCUCGAAUUUUGAAGUGGCGGAGCAUUAAAAUAGAAAAGCUCGAAUAUGUUCUCCAAAAUCUUCAAAAAAAGUUGAUGCUUUUGGUUAAUCUUCAAACAACAUUUGAAGGUUAAUUGAAUUAUAGGUUCCUUGAGUUCAUGAAACCAAUGAGACAAAAUAAAGUUAUUUUAAGAAAUCUCUUUAAUGUAGUUAUUAUAAAUGGGAACCUCUUCAAUAGCGUGAGGUAGAAUAAGAUUGUUGAAUAAGGAAGUUCUUCAGCAUCAUCAUCAUGAAACAAAACAAUUUCAACUGGAGCCAAUGUCUUGUGAAUUGCUAUUGGUGGUUUGGAAGGCACUUCAAGCUUUAUCUUCAAAUGCUUGAGAAGUAUUAGUUCUAUUCCUAAGUUCAAAUUUUCACUCUUGUGAAAGAUCUCAUGCUUUCCUGACUUUCGUGUAUAAAUUUAUUUUGUCCUUAUUUUUUAACUGACAUAAAUUAUUAAUAUAUGCAAUGACUAUUGAGAUAGCUUUUAACAUAGAAGGCAUAUUCAAUUAUUGAUAUUGGAUACAAAUGAUUGAAUGUAUCUCAAUAUUCUCUAUGCAUCUGUUGGGGCCAAAAACUUGGUACAACAUAUUGUUUGUAAUCGGUUAGAUUAUAUGAUGAAUUGUAACAAAAACUUCAUUGAGUUCCAUGUGAAUUGAAGCUGAUCUAUUGUGAAAUUGAUUGUAAUAUGCAAAAUUUGAUUAAUCUAAUAUGGUGGGAAAAUUUGAGGUUUUCUUUUGUUUUGUUUUUUUUCAAUGUAAAAAUCGGAAAGGUAGGGAUAGAACUUAUGUUUUGAUGCUAACGGAUGAAGGACAGUAAUGGUAGAACCAGAAAUUGUCCAACAAAGUAAGAAAUAGAGGAAGGUAUAGAGANNNNNNNNNNNNNNNNNNNNNNNNNNNNNNNNNNNNNNNNNNNNNNNNNNNNNNNNNNNNNNNNNNNNNNNNNNNNNNNNNNNNNNNNNNNNNNNNNNNNNNNNNNNNNNNNNNNNNNNNNNNNNNNNNNNNNNNNNNNNNNNNNNNNNNNNNNNNNNNNNNNNNNNNNNNNNNNNNNNNNNNNNNNNNNNNNNNNNNNNNNNNNNNNNNNNNNNNNNNNNNNNNNNNNNNNNNNNNNNNNNNNNNNNNNNNNNNNNNNNNNNNNNNNNNNNNNNNNNNNNNNNNNNNNNNNNNNNNNNNNNNNNNNNNNNNNNNNNNNNNNNNNNNNNNNNNNNNNNNNNNNNNNNNNNNNNNNNNNNNNNNNNNNNNNNNNNNNNNNNNNNNNNNNNNNNNNNNNNNNNNNNNNNNNNNNNNNNNNNNNNNNNNNNNNNNNNNNNNNNNNNNNNNNNNNNNNNNNNNNNNNNNNNNNNNNNNNNNNNNNNNNNNNNNNNNNNNNNNNNNNNNNNNNNNNNNNNNNNNNNNNNNNNNNNNNNNNNNNNNNNNNNNNNNNNNNNNNNNNNNNNNNNNNNNNNNNNNNNNNNNNNNNNNNNNNNNNNNNNNNNNNNNNNNNNNNNNNNNNNNNNNNNNNNNNNNNNNNNNNNNNNNNNNNNNNNNNNNNNNNNNNNNNNNNNNNNNNNNNNNNNNNNNNNNNNNNNNNNNNNNNNNNNNNNNNNNNNNNNNNNNNNNNNNNNNNNNNNNNNNNNNNNNNNNNNNNNNNNNNNNNNNNNNNNNNNNNNNNNNNNNNNNNNNNNNNNNNNNNNNNNNNNNNNNNNNNNNNNNNNNNNNNNNNNNNNNNNNNNNNNNNNNNNNNNNNNNNNNNNNNNNNNNNNNUAGGAACUAUGUCACACAAGAUUGGAUCACUGUAGGUGCCAUGACAAGUAGAAACAAGACUCUGUUAAGUUACCAAAAAUGCUUGAUUUACUCGUCCAUGCUAGUUUGUAUGGUGGGAGAUGUGAUUGCAUCUAAAAAUUGAAAUUUUCAGCUGUAGAUAUUAAAACAAAAUUCUAGGAUUACAUAAAAAAGCCAGUGUUUCAGGGAGGUUUGGGGUUGAGAUCAUUAAUGGAGAUGAAUUUGAUCUUACCAGGUAAGUGAUAUAGAGAUUUAUAGAGGAUGAUACUCGAAAGUAUUAACUAGACUAAAAUAUGGUUUAUCUCUCUUCUCUCUAAAACCCUAGUCCAGCCUCUCCGACCACAACAUCCAAAGUACCUUCAUGAACUUGUAUGGUAGAUGGUAUCUAUACGUAGAAAAUAAAUCCAUCGACCUAUGUUGCGAAGGUAAGAAGGCGGAAGGUUUACGAAUCACGGAGAAUGGGCGUGGGUUCAGAAGAUCGAUUUAUUUAGAUAAGAAGGAAUUUGUUUGGUUUCUUGACGCGCUCGGUGAUUUUUGGUGGAAAAGCAAACCGGGCACAUGAGUCAAAAGCAUUGUGAGGAGGAACUACGAAUUAUGGUUGGCAUAUGACUCAAAUCAGUGAGGGGAAUAUCUUAACCUAACUGUCCAAGGAGGCAGAAGAGUAAAAAAGAUUUUCUUUCCGGAAGGACUGUAGGGGGGAGGGUGGUGGAAACUAAUGGUGGCAACUUCUGAGUUAGUGGAUAAACCGGUCAAAUCUUCCAAGAUCGUUAAUGAAGAACGAAAUAUUGAACUUGAACGCCUUAAGGUGAGUCGGAACCAAAUGAAAUUUCCAUGGAAAGCCUCCUUUCACUGCCCACAUUGCAACACCCCGAUCAACGCCAAUGUAGCAAUGGAAUUCGAAGGUACAAAAAUUUACGUGGCGGCGCUUCAAGCAAGAGAAAGCAAGGUGAGGCAGGUAUGGCAGAGUCAAUUCGAGUGGUCAAAUUGGGUUGGUCCAAAUGGAAAGAACCAGAAUGAAAAGGGUUACAUGGUCGAUGAUCAAAACGACAAAGUCAAGCGUCGUUUUGGUAAAAAAAGGGUUAAGGGAGCUGUAACGAUGGGCCGAACACAGAAGGACAAUACAAAUGGCCGGGUGAUAAGAAAAGAUACACAUGGAGAGAAAAAGGGAAAUCGAAGAUGGAGACUGAUAAUGCCAGGGGCACACUCGCAUGCUUGGAUUCGGGUCUUGUUGCUAACUCGACCCAAGGUGAAACAUCAAGCAUUAAGAAAGUGGAAGAAAUUAAGGAAUUGGUGUCGACUGAUAGCAGAGAAAAAGACUUUUCUAAGUUAUGACUUGACGAAGAGAAAUUGGCCGAGGAAACUGAGAAAAGAGGUCAUGAAGAUGAGUAAUUUGAGUUGAGAGAAAGAGAAGAAGAAGACGCAUGCUCUGUUUUCUCCACAAUGGAGGAUUUUGAAGGGGAACGGCGAAAGGUUAUGGACCUAUUGUGCGACAAGCAUGAAAUCCCGAUGGAGACCAGAAACUUAGUGGUGGUAGAAACAGAUGCCACAUUUUUGGAUUCAAGGGAAGACACUGAUAUUGUAGAGACCAUUCAACUGAAUCUGGAGGGAGCCAACAUCUCUGCCUGGGAGGUGAAGUAUUGCUCGCAGUGGGUUCUUAACAAUGUGAACAAAUUCAACAAGAAAAUGGGCAUAUCCUUUGAAGGUAUGAAAUACUUAACUUAGUUUUUCUUCUUUGAAAUAGAAAAAAGGAAAGUGCCCCCAAGUACUGCACGGACUGUUUUAAUAAAGAAAAAGAGAGUGAGAAGUGGCACCCCUAGGGAGCUUAAAAGAUUGGAGUCUUCCAUAAAUUAUGAAGGAAGAAAAAAAGAAGGUAUGGUCGUAGGCGGGAUCAGGUUGAUUUGUGAAUUAUUGGGAAGAUUUUGUCCUGAAAUGUCUGUGGGGCAAUUGACAGAGAUAAAAGGCUUGUCAUCAAUGACUGUAUGAAAAAAUAGAUGCCUAUUAUAGUUUGUGUGCAAGAAAUAAAAAUUGAAGAUCAUGCCAAAGAAAAGAUUAACAGCAUACGGUGCGAGAAAAACUAGGAUUGACAUGCAAUUCCGGCCAAAGGAUCUGCUGGGGGGAUGAUUAUUUCUUGGAAGAAGGAUUGGGUUAGUUGUCUAGAUGUCUUUAAAGGUCAAUGCACCUUGUCUUGCAUCUUCAAGAAUUGCAAAGGGGACAUAGAAUGGAUGUUCACCAGGGUUUACUACAGAGGCAAUAAAGCGGAGAAAUUAAUUUUGUGGGAUAAAUUGGAGAACUGCAAAACCAGACGGGGUAGUAUGUGGAUUAUUGGGGAAGAUUUUAACACGACAUUGAGACGGGGGAGAGGAACGGUAACUGUUUUUGGUUUCAGAGGCGGCUGAAUUCAAGGAGGUUAUGGACGGGAUUGGUGUGGCUGAUUUGCCGUUGUCAAAAGGGCAGUGGACACGGUCUAAUCGAAAGAGUAUGUCCAGAAUUGAUAGAUUCUUUGUAUCCUCCAAUUUCCUGCUGGAGUUGACCAAUGUAAGCCAAAAAACACUACCCCGACUCACAUAUGAUCAUUAUCCUGUAUGCGUAGAGGUUGAGGGAAUCCAAUGGGGACCUGUGCUGUUUCAGUUAGACAACAAAUGGCUGAAAAAGGAUAAAUUCCGAGAUUUGGUAGAAAAUUCAUGGAAAAAUUGUGAGGUUUAGAGUUGCACCAGCUUCAAACUAGCCUUUAAACUUAAGAAUUUGUAGACUGUUAUCAAAGCAUGGGCCAAAGAGGAGCUGAAGAAUGAGAAGAGCAGGUUUGAUAAUACAGUGGUCGGAUUCAGUUUAUUGGACUCUAAGGAGGUAGGCAAUGGAUUGAAUGACGAGGAGAAUUAUGAGGGGUAAUUUAAAGCUACAGCUUGCUGCAUAUUUGAAGGAAGAAGAAAUGGUGUGGACAGAAGUCAAGAGAAAAGUGGUCGGCGGAUGGUAAUCGGAAUACGAAAUAUUUCCAUACUUUGGCCUCCCAUUGUCACAGAAUAAACUACAUUGAGGAAAUUGUUACCGAGAACAAGAAAACUGGGGGAAAUCCGACUUUACGUGAGGCUGCCAAGGAACAUUUUGAAAAUAUGUAUAAGGCGAUUCAUGUUUGUAGACCAAAGUUGGAUGGUUUGUCAUUUAACAGAAUAUCUGAAGAGAGCAGACAGCUUCUGGAAGCUGAAUUUAAUGCAGAGGAGUUCUUAGAGGGUUUAAAAUCAUGUGAUGGUAAUAAAGCUUCAGGUCCCGAUGGUUUUAGCUUGAAUUUCCUUUAAAGUUUCUGGUAUGUACUGAAAGAGGAUAUUGUGUCUGUUUUCAAAGAUUUACAUUCCAAUGACAAGUUUCUUAAAUCUUUAAACACUACAUUGCCUUUAUUCUCAAGAAAAUGGGUGCCAAUGAAUUUAAAAACUUUAGUCCUAUAAGCUUGGUUGGGUGUAUAUAGAAGCUCAUUGCCAAGGUGUUGGCUAGGAGACUAGUUAAAGUGUUGGGACAAAUAAUUGGGAAAAGCCUACAUGCUUUUGUUGGGGGAAGACAGAUUUUUGAUGCCGUUAUGGCUGCUAAUGAAACGAUUGAUGACUUGAUCAAUAAAAAGGAUAGUUUGGUGUGUAAACUUGACAUGGAAAAAGCUUAUGAUCAUGUGAAUUGGAAUUUUGUAGACUGCAUGCUAUCUACGAUGGUUUUUGGCCUAAAAUGGAGAAAAUGGAUGAGGCUUGUAUGACCACUACAUCUUUUACUGUAUUAAUAAAUGACCGUUUUUCUAAUUUCUUUAAUACUUCUAGAGGAUUGAGGUAAGGGGAUCCACUCUCUCUGCUUUUGUUUAUAAUGGUGAUGGAGGCUUUAAACGGGUUAGUCAACAGGGCACAUGAGUUGCAUUUGAUUAGGGGAGUUUCAGCGGGACAAAAAGAGAGAAUUGAUGUUUCUCACUUAUUCUUUGUUGAUGAUACCCUAAUUUCCGUCAACCGGAUUUGAGAAACAUACUACAUUUGAGGUUUGUACUUGUGUGUUUUCAAGCUGUCUCGGGUUUCAAGAUUAAUUUAUACAAGUCUGAAUUGGGCAGAAUUGGUGGUAAUGGGGUUGCUAGUUCAUAUGCUAUGAUUUUAGGCUGUAAAGAUAUAAAAUUUUCCUUCAAGUACCUUGGCCUCUCACUUGGUGCUAAGUGUAAAGAUCAAUUAUCUUGAGAACCGGUUAUUGAUUUGUUUGAAAGAAGACUAGAGGGUUGGAAGAGAAAUUUUCUCUCUAAAAGGGGGAGACACACCCUAGUAAAAAACGCAGUGAUUAAUAUCUCAAUAUAUUAUCUUUUGACAAUCACUAUAUCUCUUAAAGUGGCUAAAAACCUAAAAACAAUUCAAUGUAGAUUCUUUUGGGUGAUAGUGAUGAUAAGAGAAAGUACCAUCUUGUAAAAUGGGAGGAUAUCAAAGACCCAAUCAUUUAUGGAGGCCUUGGGAUUAGGUUCAUGGUUAAUAUGAAUUUAGCACUCCAGAGAAAAUGGAUUUGGAGAUAUUUGAAAGAAGAAAACAGUUUUUGGAGAAAAAUUAUUCAUGCUCGGUGGGGUAUGUAUAUGGGUAGGACAGUUGACGGUAGGAUUCCAAACACACAUGGAAGAGGCUUAUGGAGAAAAAUUCUAAUGCAAUGGUGCAACUUUCAGCAAUGUGUCACAUGGACAUUAGGGAGAGGGAACAGGAUUAUUUUUUGGGAAGACGAUUGGAUCGGGGAGAGCUGUUUAAGAAGAAGUUUUCCCAGAAUUUUCAAUAUUGCAUAAUCUAAGGAGAUGACAGUUGAAGAAGCCUACCGGACUGAUAUGACAGUAUUGUAUGUUCUAUUAACGUCAGUCUGAACUUGAAUGAUUGAGAAAUUGUUGAGUAUGAGGGUUUGAUGAAGCCGUUGGCUGGUUAGGUUGUAGACAGUAAUGUAGAUCAGAUUGUGUGGAAAUUUGAAAAAAAAAGAAAAUUUCUCAGUUAAGUCUUACUACAAUCAACGAAGCUGAAAAGUGAAUGUGGCCAGACAGAACUUUCCAACCAAGCGAAUUUGGAAAACCAAGGCUUUGCUCCGUAUUGCCUUUUUUGCUUGGGAGACUUUCUGGGAGAGGAUUUUGACUAUUGAAAAGUUGAGAAUUAGAAGAAGAGUGAUGGUUAACGUUUGCUAUUGUUGCUUGCAAGCUGAGGAAAUGUGGAACCAUCUCUUAUUGUGGUGUCCGUUUGUUUACAGCUUAUGGUGUUUGAUAUAUAGUCUUAUGGGGAUUGAUUGGGUCGUAAUUGGGUCUGUUGAGGGAGAAAUAUGGGCUUGGGAUGAGCUAUAUGUAAAAAAAAAAAAAUUGCUAACUUGAUUUCUUUGACUGUUUUCUGUGUCAAUUGGAAGGAAAGAAGUGGUAGGACUUUUGACAAUAUUGAGAAUAGGAUCAAUAGAUUAAAAGAUAGGUGAAUUCAUAAUUUUAGUUUUAUUUUAUUAGAACAUAACAUUAUUAGUGGAUUUUGGGAAUGUCAUUGAUAUACUAACAUGAUUUGAUUUUUUGUACAUGGGUGGUACUCUCUUUUUGGUGUCUUGUUAAUACAUACUAUACAUUUUUAUUGGAAAAAAAAGUAUUGACUAGACUACUUGGAAAGGGGAUGUGUAAAAAAUAUGCAUGGAUAGGAAUAAAUUUCAAGAUCGCAUCAGGUGGAGGGUUGAUAUUGGGGGCAAAAUCAGUUUUUGGCAAGACGCUUGGCUUAGAGAGGGAUAGCUCAAAGAUCAGUUUCCCUAGAUAUAUGCCAUUGUAGGGUACAAAAAGAUUACGAUUUUUUAGUCAUUCAAAGAUAUAGGGGGAAAAAGGGAGUGGUACAUGGAAAUUAUGAUAAACCUCAAUGAAUGUGACAUUAAUGAUUAUGAGACUCACCUCAAUACAUUCUCCUUCGCCUCAAUUAAUGGGAGUAAUGAUCAACCAAUUUAGAGUUUCAAUUCCAGAAGGUCUAUCUUAGUCAGAUCUUUCUAUAAUUAUUUAAUUAAGAAUAACCCCACUUAGACCAAUUUUUCUUUUUGGCAAAUUUGAAAAGUUAAUUCUCUAUUUAGAAUUACUUUUUUGCCGUGGGAAAGAGGUUGUCGAUGUAUCUCACUAUUGACAAAUUGAUGAGGAGGAGAAAUAUUUUGGUGAAUGAUUGUUUUCUAUGCAAGAGGGAAGCCAAAUCUUGUAAUCACAUCGUUCUUUGGUGCCCGCUUGCACAUAAGUUAUGAACCAUGGCUUACAAGUCACUGGGGAUUAGUUAAGGCAAUGGCUAAUUUGGUAAGGGACGAAAUUCGGGUCUAGAGGGGUAUUAAUAGAGGAAAGAAACAUGCGAGUCUCAUUCCCCUUGCUGUCUUUUGGGUGGUGGGGAAAGAGACAUGAGAGUUUUUAGGGAGUGGAAGAUGAAUUUGAUAGGGUUAUAGAUAGGUGGUUUCAGACCCUAGUUUUUUUAGUUAUGAGUCAUUCUCUGUAUACAAUUAAAGAUUUUGGGGACCUUAUUAAUAUUAUGUUUGACAUGUAAAUACUUUUUCGUCUUUGGGUUGGCACCCCCUUAGUGUUUGUAGAUUAAUAAAUCAUAUUAUACUUUUUAUUUCAAAAAAAAAAAAAUGAACAUUCUGCAACAUUCUUUGUGAAUGACAAGUUUUUUACAUUUAUUCUUACAGCAAGCUACAGUUUGGAAAAUUAGAGAAUAUUUUGGAUCUUUUUCUACGUUAGCUGCAUAAUUAUGCUUAAUUACAGUCAAGAAUAACUUGUCAAUCCUAUCAUCCUUGAAUAAUGACUUAUUCUCUUCCUCACGAUUCAACAUGCCUUAAACUUUUUCCAUCAUAUACUUUUGCAGAAGAGGCUGCAAAAUAAGAGAGGUAGACAAGAAUACCUCCUUUUCAAUUGCCAAAUGCCAGCCUAAGAGGGGAUAAGCCAAUCUAGGGUAAUCAAUUUAGUCAAACCCGAUUGAAAAAGUCAAAACAGAGCAUGAUACAAAAGGCCCACUCGCGGGUGCAGGUGCUUGGGGUCCAUGCGUUGGCUUUUAGUCAUUGUAUGGCACUGGCCAUUUGGCAGUUGGCUCUACUGGAGGUGCUAAUUUUCGUUUGGAGGUCAGUGUAGGACAUGACAGUGCAGAAGUUCGGAUUCAUGAAAGGCAGCGACUAGAGGAGUUGCGCGGGUGAGUAUGGUGGUUUGUGGUGGAUUUAUGCUGUGGGGUUUUUGGGUUGCCAGGCGGGGUCUUCUUAGACUAGUUAUAGUGACUGUGUUGAUCAACUCCAAUCAGUGACUGUGAUCUAGGGCGGCGGCAGUAGACUGGGUUAGGUUUUCUGUCCUUUUUUUUUAUAUUCUGUUUUCUUUUUCUUUAUUCUUUUUCGAAGAUAAGUUUUAGGACUGUGUAGGAUUUUGAGAAUUGGAUUUAUGAAUCUUUUAGCUCUCGUACUAAAUUGAUGUAAGACAAAUAGAAUUGAUUUGUCCAAUUAGAGAUUUAGGGAUUAAAAACCUGGACAUCAUGCCUAAAAUUUCUUAAACAUCACAUUAAGGAAUCUUAAGUAUCAUAUUUAUAGGUUUAAUUGCAUCACAUAAACAGAAAACUGAGAAAUUCUAAAAAAAUUAUUGAAUAACUGAAUACUAUCCUCUCAAAAGGUUAUAGUCAUACAUGUAGAAUACUUAAUAGGUCUUUCCUAAACUAGAUUAGGAAAUGCCAAAACUAAAUUAGGAAUUUUACUUUUAAUAAAAUGAGAAUACAGCUGCUAAAAAGAUCAAGAAUGUUAAUCCUAAUAGAAAAAGAAAAUACUAAAACAAAUAGGAAAUCUAAUACUAAAAAUAAUAAAAUUUUGAAGUUACCAAAACUUUAGUACUAGACUUCUAGGAGGGCUUCGGGGUUUGUCUGCUUUGUGCCUGCCUGCUUCAUUUCUGAUUUCAAUGGAGGACAUACACCGAUGCCGUAUGUAUGGUCAAAAGCCCUAUAUCCUUGAAAUACGGAGAAGAACAAAGAUUUUAUACGCGGAAGUUGGUGAAAUUUAUAGUCCCACUAACAUAACUUUUGUUGGUUAUGUUAAUGGGAUACUCCAAAGGAAAGAUGAGAAAUUUUAAAAGAAGAGAUAGAAGGGCUGGAGCGAAAGGAUGCAGAGCUCAUUUUGGUAAAAGAUCAGUAAGUUUAAUACUGUGAAAAGUUUCAGAACUGCUUCACUGUAUUAAUCAUGAUAUUAGUAAAGUGUAUUUAUACAAGGAAGAGUCCAUCUUCAUGUGGAACUUUGUGAAAGAAAACAUUUAGAAUACUGACUCAGUUGUAAUGUUAUGUACAUAUCCUAUCAGCUAUAACUUCUUCCCAGGUACCCAGUGAGAAGCGAACACCUGGGUGACCAAAAAAGGAGCCGCCACCACACUUCACCUUUUGUACCUUGAGGGAAUGUCAUGAUUCUUCUUCCUUUGUUAUCCUCCUUGAGUUCUAGAUAGUUACCCGUUUUAUUCUUGCCAAGCUGUAAAGAUAACUCCCUACCAACUCCUCUCUGUAGGUUCCUCCAUUGUCGCUUUGGUCCAAAAGAACUGACACAGAACGACUCACACAAGGAUCUGAACAACCAUUAAGUUUCCAGGUUGAAGGUGGAAUAAGAACCAAAUCUAUGCCCAUUUUGCGAAGCCUAGGGAGGUCAUUCACUUCUCCUUUUGAUACCAUGUCAAAUGAUUUUCUUUUAAUUACUAGGAGUUCUCUAGAGAAAAGGAUAUAAUUUCAGAUCAGAGGGCUGACAAUGGUAGGGAGCUCUGGACAGAUGGCCCAGGCAAAGCUCCAGGAAGGUAAAGAAAAAGGAUAAGUUGGUAGAGAGAUAACCUAGAGAGGGAAAAGCAACUUUGAACAGUCAAACGACAAUGACCUAUGAAUAUAGAGAUCAACUGUUUGAGAAUAUCAUGAUCUCUACAUUAGCCCUGUUUAUUCAUUUUAAGUUAUCGAGGAUUUUCAAUGUCUUUUAUGCAAUUAUUCAUAUACUAUGUAUGAACUGAAGCCAAUGCUUGAAUGGCCAGUUUGAGCUUCUGUUGAUGAUUCCAUUUGUUAAACUUGCAGUAAAUCAGAAUAUGUCAUAUACAAGCUCAAGGAGAUGGCAAAGAUAUCAGAGAAAGACAUUUCCCCUAUCUGUAACCAGUUUGACAGGCUAGAUACGGGCAACUGCGGAAAAAUCACUCUUGCUGAUCUCAUGGAGAGUCAUCACUGAUAUAGAUAAUGCCGUGCAGGAUACAACAGAAGUUGUAGAGAAUCAGUAUGCCACUAAACUGUAAAAUUUGAUAAUUCGCAAAAAAGUUGAAUAUACAAACGUUCCAUGAACUUCAGUGCCUGAUACUGGUAAUCUCUUUACCCAUGAAUCAUGCGCAUCCAGAUACUAGAUACUUGAGUUAACCAUCUGCAUCCUAUUGUCUGAUUUGGUUCUAAAGCAUUUUGAGCAUCAGGAUGUGCAGAUAUUAGUGCUUCCUCCUAUUAUCUGAUAUGCUCCUGAAGCAUUUUGAGCAUCAGGAUGUGCAGAUAUUAAAGCUUCCCCUAGAUUUGGCAAACAUACUUGGUGCACAGAUACAGAUGGAUGCUGUUAGGGGGUGGGGGCGGGGAGAGACUUUUUUUUUUUUUUGCAGAUGUGUUAUUUUUUAUACCCACGAAUUCGGUAUAUACAUAUAUAUUCUUUGAUAGAUUUAUGAUAAUAAAAGAUUGGGCAGGGUGUAUUUAUUCCUUUGUAGUAGUCAUGUCUUCUUCCAUGUUAAUUUCUAUUUAAUCUAAAGCAUGUGAAUGUCAGUUGUAAUCAAAUACAUGAAUGAAGGUGAAGCUUGUUAAUAUGUAAGUUGCAGAGGACUGAUGAUCUUUAAUAAUUAAUACAGUUUAAUAUUUCACCAAGAAUCACUAAAUCUCCUUAUAGUUUAGUGGUAGUGCAUCAAAGUAGUUCGUUAUGGUCAAUAGUUUGAGAGCAAAAAAGGCACAACAGGAGACCAAAAGUAAGAAAGAAUAGUGACAGUAAAACUAGUUACUGUAUUGGAUAGGGUUUUGUUUAUGGAAUUGUGAGGAAUGAAAUACAGUAAGGAAUUUAAGUUAUUUAUGAAUUAAAUAGGAAGUUGAGUUUUAAGGGUAAAAUGAAAAUACAAGAAGAAAUAUCAAUAUUGGAGAACCAAUAGUAGUUAUCUUCCAUAUAUAUAUAAAUAUAUAUUUCUCACAUCUUUUUUUGAUUGAUUUCUCAUUAAAACCGAAACUUUUAACUAACAUAUACCUACCUUGUUCGAGAAGAAAGGAACAAGAGGGUUUUCUGAUGGAAAAAAGGCCGCAACGGGAGUUCUAAAAAAUGGAUUGGAUAAAUUAUUACUAAUAAUCAAACUUGUUGAAUUGCGUAAUGAAAAAUAAUAAAAUUGAAUUAUCUAAAUACUUGUGUUCAUAAGAAAUUGUGUGUGAAAAAUAGUAAAACUGAAUUACCUAAAUAUUUAUGUUUAUAAAAAAUCGAGUAAAUAUCUUUUAAGGUAAACUAAAGUACUAAAAUUUACGUCGAUUUUUACUCUUUAUCCAAUACAUUUAAUAACCUCGGAGAUAGUAGACUUUUUCUUUCAACUGGCUCUUUAAUUUCAGGCUAACUUCAUAUAAAUUCGUGAUUUGAUCUCAAAUUUAAGACUUUUAACAUAUUUAUUUUUGUUUUAUAUCAAAUAAAUAUUGAUCUUUAGCUAAGAGUUAAAUUUAAUAGUAAGAAAUUAUGAUAUUACUCUCAAAUAAACUUGUUUGUAACCCUAAAAAUAACUUUUUUUUCUGAUAUGUAUUUAAGCCCAUUAAGUUGGGUUUGGACAUAAAUAAAAACUUGAGAAAUUAAAAAAUUAUUCACGUAUUUUUACUUGCCUAGAUUUUUUAAAUACAACUCUUGAAAAUUUAUAUCAUGCAUGUGUUAUAUAACAAUUAGGGAAAACAAUAUGUAAUAACCUGUCUUCUGUAAGUGUGAAUCCUCAUCAUAGGAAAUAUGUUUUUCUUAUCAAAAUUUACAAAAAUUUAUAAAAUUAGAGUAUCUCAUCAUGUAUAUAUACAUAUAAAUGUAUAUAUAUAUAUCAAUACUCAACUUGCUAAAAUCAUUAAAUAAAACAUUUUAUUUCCAACAUAAUAAAAAAUUUUAAUUUAAAAUUGUUCCAUAAUUUAAUUUAAUAUAAGUAUUAAAAAGUUACCAUCCAUAUACAAUAUAUGAUCAAUGACAUUUACAAAAUUAUCCAAAAUCAUAGAAUGAAAAGUAUAAAUUCACCAAUCUCUAAUGUUAAUAUCAAUUCCAUCAAACCUUCUCGAAUUUCUUUCCUUUCACACCACUUCAAAAGUGAAAAGAGGAAUUAAAAGAAACGACCAUCAAGAUACAUAUAUAUAUAUAUACAUAUAUAUAUGUAUAUCUAUAUUACUCGUACAUCUCAUUGCGUUGUCAGUCUGCCUACAUAGACUAACAGGGUAGUCAUUGGUUUGAUUAACUAGAAAAGUGUAUCCAUUUCUUUUAAAUUACAAAGGUCUGUUCGUUUACUUUAGGGUAAUUGAAUGUAAGUGGCUCUUUACUUAUACCUUAUCUACAUGAUUGGGUAUGAGAAUCAUGCAAUUGAAAAAAAAAUUUGGGUUGUGUAUUAUGCAUGUACAAGGUGCAUGAGAAUCGCCAUUGUAAUGUUCUUACCUAACCAGCAUGAUAAUUGCAUGAACAGAAGCUAUUUGAAUUUGCAAUUAAACAACCCAAUAGAAUUGGCUAUUAGCAAGGGGCAGAUUUGCGAGUAACACUUUCUGCAGAUGUACGUAGUUUUCGAGCCCUCUCGUUAGGACUAUCAGUAGAUCCUCCUGCAAGAAGUCAUGAUAGCAUAAUCUUAGUGAAUUCGAACUUUUACUCGAUGACAUGGUGUCGUGACGGGAUAGUUUUCAAAACACCUGAGUUAGAACAAAAUUCCGCACUCAAACCAUGAGAAGAAUUAACUCAGCUAAUUUCUUAUUCUCUAUUGACUUCAAAACCAAUGGUGUACUGUGUCCUGGUUCUCAGAAGAUUUAAAUUAGAACAAGAUUCAAAUUUAUAGUGACAAUUCAAUUGGAGAAUCCAAAAGGCACAAAGAUAUUGUACGAGUAUUUAAAUCAAAUCCUACCUUGCACAUCCUAACUGAAUUUCACAAAAUAUUUGAUAUAUUACAAAAAUAGCCUAAGAAUAAUAGAUAAUAGAUAAAAUAUUAAUCACCUUCACCAUAUACAGGGUAGAACCCCAAAUAUUUAGCAAUUACAAAGUGGAGUUCAUUUGCUUAAAGACCAUUUCCCAAUUAACUUGGUAUCAUUGUACAGAAGAAAGCAUAAUAAGAAAAGGAAUAAAAAGCAACAAGAGAAUCAACACACCUUAUUUGAUAAGAACAUAAUCUGCACCAGCCAUAAAUGCAUCUCCAGCAGUCGGAGGCAAGUUAUUUCUAGAAAUAUUUUUUCGAACCUGAGCAUGAGUUUCUGCUUCGUGCUGGAACAUUUUAACCAACUCUUGCAGCUCCAAUUUUCUAACUUCUACCUGCUCCUCAGUAAUGGGUUUUUUCAACCCGAGAUAGAUCAGUCCAACAAUGAUUAGCACUAUUCCUAUACAGAACAAGAUGGCAGCAAAAAGACCAAAAGCAUAAGGUGUGUUAGCUGCUCCAGGGAUUCCGUCAACAUUGAUUCCAAAUAACCCUGUGAUGAUGGAAAGUACAAGGCCACAACCCCCAAAAACAGCUAAAUUGUGGGUUACUCGCAGGCUUCUGUCCUGAAUUUAACAAUUUUCAUAGGCAUGAGACAUAGCAAUGUGUAGAAGUUAAUCUGUCAAUAUGAAGAUCAUUCUUCAAAUGUCAAUUAAAUAUGUAACUUCUUUUUUAGGUUUGUUUGGCACAAACCUGCAGCCAUGCACGGACAGUGCUUUGCAUAACAUCCUGAAUUGUGAAUAAGCGGCCACGAACUGCUUCUUGCUCCUCAAUCAUUUCUCUUGCGUUCUUCCUUAUUCCUUCUAGCAAAGUCCUGGCUACAUUUCCCCUCAAAUGUUGGAGAAGCUCAAAGACAAUCUCUUCUCUUGCAUGGAGAGACCACUUUACUCUGAUGACCUGCAACAGCAACCAUAAGUUUUUAAUGAUCAAUAACAAUUUUGAACUCUUAAAGAUCCUGAAAAAAUUCGAAUAGAGAUCUCUGAACUAGCAUGUAAAAACAUAGUUUGGAAGAAAUGAACUUCGUUAAAAUAAGUGAGAAAUUUGAAAUAAAUUAUCUCAAUUCCACUUGGAAUUGUCAAAGAGCUAAAGCUAGGAGAUUUCAAAUUCAUGACUUAUGCUCAGGAGGCAUGAAAACCUUCCUCCCAACACAACACCCUACCUACAAAGGAAAGAAAAAGAUUCUAAGAAAGACAACUUUUCCACAAAUGACUUUCAAUCUAGACGGAGAAAGUGUAAUACCUGUCUUGACAACUUUCUUAUUUCUUGAUUCAGAAUAAUGCUGAAAAGAUACAUAUCUUCCUGGUUUCUCCUGCAAAAAAGGAACUAAUUGUCACUAUCAGAGUACGAAGUGGCAGUCCGAACUCAAUAAAUAGAUUCAUGUCCCCAAACAACCUGUUCAUAAACUUUAACUCAAUCUCAUCGGCUGCACCAAAGAUGUACUUCCGGAACAACCUGAAAUAAAUUAAAGACAGGUAGAAAACCAUUACUAUAAAAACUUAUGCUAAUCACGAGUCUCUUAAUGCCACUAGUAUAUAUCACGUUUACCACAGAAAAUUAUUCAGAGAUUGGAUCUUACUUUACAGUAGCAAGUGGAGGUUUACGACUUAUGACAACCAAAUUUCCAAGAUAGGGUAAAAACGUUUGAUUAUAUCACUGGAAGUGAACAAGACUCCCUAUGUUACAUAAGACAGAUAUUGUAUAAUUGUUCGAUUUUCCGCAAUUUUUUCCUUUUCUCUGUAUAAAUAACCUAAUAUUGGUUCAAAGUCAAAAACAUAUUCACCAUCUAAAGUAACGACUAGAUGAGAACACCAUGCAUUGACGAAGUACAACAAAACCUUUGCCAUUUAGCAAGCUAGAUUUUAACCUUCCAAUUUUAUCAGAUGUUCUCUCGAAGAGACAACCUAGACUGGCCUUUCACAGACAUUUUGAAGUAAAACGAACAACAAAUAAAAUUUCCUUUUAGCAUAUUGCUAACGUCCUACAAAACUUGCAACUAAACAUAUGUCAAAGUGCAUUUCCAGGGACCAUAUGCAUAAAUCUGAACUAGUCAUAUCAAUUGCAUUGCAUUAAAAGGCAGCAGGGUCAAACAGCUGGACUGAAUUUGGAAAAGAACAAAAUUCAAUACCUAUCAUCCCAUCGAGUAAGACGGCAUGCAAGAAGUGCUAUGAGUUCAUGCACUGUCCUGGGCAUGUUAUAACCUCCGGCAGAAAGAAGCUCCUAUAAAAGCAAAGCACCAAAAGCUUGAAUAAGAAAUUAUGGCAUCACUAUAAACUUGUUUCAUUAGACAAUAGAAAGUUGUAAUGACUGCCAUUGAGAACAUCUAUACAAGCAUGAACAACCUGAACUUCUGUGAUGCCCAGCACAUUUAUGCAUGACACAUUUCCCUUGAUAUGCAAUACAGUUAUUAGGAAGUUUUGUGCUUGCCAAGACCGCAGUACAACAGGGGUGUCAUCUUCAUCAACAAAUGGAUCACCAGCUGAUUGUCCCAACAGCUCAAAUAAUAAGCCUCCAGCAACCCUAACUGGAACCUUAAUAUUUGCACAGUAAAGAAGCCAACACAUCAGAACCUCAUUUCAAACAAUAAAUACAUAUAUAUAUGUUGAAAAUCUGCGUCGAUUUCAUCCUAGAUAUGUACAGAGUCCUCUCAUCUAUUUCUAUAGCUAGAAAAUCUUAUACAAUCUCUAAUCUUUCCUCUUAUCAUCACUUAGAUUAAUUGAUUCAUAAUUCUUAAGAAUCCCUAGAUUUUAGGAAUUGAUUGUAGGGUCAAAAUUUUCAAGUUAGGCAUAACUUUUUUGUAUAAAUAAUGACUACAUGGUAUCCAAGCAGUCCAAUCUGGAUGUUUUUACAGCCUUCACUAUUGAACCGUCUCUUUCUCCAGCUUUCACUGCUAAACAGAAAAAUUCAUCCAUUUUGUUUAUUAUUGGUCUUCAUAUCAAGGUUACUUCCUUUAUCUUUUUCUUAAAAAUGAUAGAUUUCUCUGAAAAUUCAUUGAACCCCUCUAUGACUGAUAUUGGAUCCAUGCCAAAUUAGUCAAUCAGGGAAAUUGCAAGACAUUAAUCCUUCAUACUAAAUGGAAAAAAAUAUAUAUAUAUUUUCAAUGGUCACAAACUGAGAGCCCUUCUAAAGGGAAGAGGAAAAUUAAGCUACGAAACUGGAACCAUUCUAAAACUAGAAGAUCUGAAGUUUAAUUGAUUAAUUCGGGAAUGAGGAAGAUUUGGUGAUCUUUGUUCAUUCUGGAAUUUAAUGCAAUCAGUGGGAACUGUUUGUUUCUCACAAUUGAUCUAGAGAUCAGCAAAGCUAAUUGCCAGAUGUACUCUAACAUAUAAGAUGCCACUCUAAUCUACAAAAUCGAGAGUAUAUAUUUAAGCAAGCUACAGCCUCAUUUAUAAAUACUAAACUUCAUGAAAAGUUUGUGACUUGAGAUGGAUAAUUACCACAAUAUUAAGAUGAAAUGUAGUGAGGAUGCUGCAAUCCUCAAGAGUUAUGAUGAAAGAGACAAACUUUCGAACUUAUUGCUUGCCUUAAUUCAGAAUUAGAUUGUAUAUGCUUUCAGUUUUGCGGAAAAGGGACAUUACCUUCCCCAAUGAGACUUUUGUAAUAAUUGGUGCUGAGGAGAGCCGAAGAAAAAUUAUGCUCAAUUACUGAACGUUAAAUAGCUCAAUCAUGAUCUUUACAAAAUUCACAAUGAUAGACUCAACUAAAGCUCUAAGAUAAUGGUACAAAUGAGAACAAAAAUUUUUAGUACUCUAAACCACUUAACUGGGAAGGAAUUUGGUGCAUAUAUUAUAUGAAGUCACAACAAAUGAAUAAGAAUUGCUUUAAACUCCAUUGAAAAGCUCAAGUUCUCAGCCAAAAUGGGGGGCUUAAAACAAUGAAAAAAGCAAGCAUACGUCAUGAAUAGAUGGCAUCUUGUCUAAAAAUUCAACCCAAAAGCAACAAUUUUGGAGAACUCAAGAAGGAGGGAAGUGAAUUAGAUAUCUUCAGACAAUAUUGCAAGAAAAACUAGGUAGCCCUUUCUUGCUCGUCAAAAAGUUCUUCCUCCAACAUAACUGAGAUUUUGCUCCAUCCUUUAAUUUGCUUAGAUACAUGUUUCCCCAUCCUUUUGAAAAUUUCACUGUUGGUAGCUUCAUUGAGAUACUUGUGAACUUGCUAAAGACCAUCACGUAUCAUGUCCCUUGAGUAAUAAAAGGUUUACUACACCUUGUUCUUUGAUAGAUACUGAAGUUUGGAGCCAAUCUAGAGCCCCGAACAUUUCAGGGACCAAAUAUUUCAUAUCUUUUUAUUAAUAAUUGCACUACGACAACCUAUUUAUUUCUCUUGAAAGGAAGAAUCAGAGAUAUGAAACAUUAUUGCAAUUUUUCACAUAACAAUUAUUACACAACAUAGUGUUUCUAUUAACAGGAUCAGGUCUGACAAUGCAAGGAAUAAUUUUGAGCGGGUUAUUUCAUCUUCCUUGCAAAGAGAAAGGACUAUCCUUGAGUCUUCUUGUGUGGAUACCCUCCAAAAAAAAUGAGGUCUGUGAGUGAUAAAAUAGGCAUUUAUGCAAUGUUAUAUAACCACCACCAUUUCAAAAUAAAAGCCCCAGUCUUUAUCAAGGACAAUUUUUACGGAAGGUAAGGAAGCAAAGUGGUUUCUGCUUUACUUGAGCUUUCCAAGGACUCAAAUCUCCCUUAAGCAAAGUGAAGGAGUUUGAGUUAAUAGUAAGCCAGGAAGUUGGUUUCUUUAAGAAACUAAUAAGAAUUAGAAUUAUUUUAGGAUUUUGUUUAAGUAUAUAGAUUUAAAUUGGAAAAUUGGAUAAAACUAGAACUAUGAUUCCUAAAAUUAUAAUUAGAUUUAGAUUAGGAAUGGGGACAGAACUAGGAUUAUAAUUCCUAGAAUGGUAAUAGAGAUCUAAUUCAAUUAUCUUUUCCAAUAAAUAAACCUAUUAUCAUGAAUAAAAUCAUCAGCUAUUAAUCCAAAGAGUUCUUCUCUGAAAGAUCAAUAGUUAUCUCAAACGAAACUCACCAAAGGCCAAUAAAACUGAAAACCGGAAAGUAAGCAACCCGCUUGCUACAGGAUUUCACAUUAGCAAGCCCUGUGACCAUAUCCGAAGCUCGGGAACCUUAUAUAAGGAUUAGAGAAUCUAGGAGCCUUUCUAUCUCUAACCUAUUUUGACAGUGAAAAGACUAUCAAAGAGAACUUGACAACCUCAUAGUUCUGCGAGAAACUCUAACUUUAUGGAUAGUUUUCUGCUCACUUUUCAUUCAUAGCUAAAAGAAUUGUCUCAUCAAUUACAAGGCAAAUGAGAAACGACCAACUGAAGCAGAACUAGCCACUUAAAAAAAGAUGGAAAAGAACUGAAGAGAAACUAUUUCCAGAAUUCUAAAAAGUUAAAAACAAGCCUAAAACUAGGACAACUAUUUAUAAAUAAAAAAUCUUAAAAAAGGAAAAAGAAAAACAAGUAGAAUCUAGUCAGAUGUUAAUUCUCUUUGGCCUCGUCCCCUCUUCUUCCCAUGUGCAUAUUUGCUAUAAAAUUGCAUAGAAAAAAACACAAUCCUGUCUGUUUCAACCACCUAACUCCCGAGUGAAUUGGUUUUUUGAGAUUCAUAUCAUCAAUAAAUGAUUGACCCUAAAAUUUCACAUAUCAUUCAUGCCAGAUGACCAACUUAUACUAGCCCAACUACAAAGAAUCACAUCAUUCAUUAAACUAAUUUUUGUUAAUUAAAAGCAUGUUUACGACUUAAAUAAGCCACAUACCUCAUAAAGAAGGUGUUUCAUCCGUUCACUUAUCAGUCGACUUUCAUCUCUCAAUGCCAAACUGAUGGCAGGAUGUAACCACUUAGCAUUACUGAGCCAUGAUUCGACAAAAGGGUGACCAGCAGCCAGAUGGCACCACCAUACAGGGCCUGCUGGCCGUUCCCAGUAUGGAGCUGCUAGAUCUGCCACAGUGACUCCCUCUUCAUCAUCCACUGGCCCCGACUGCUGUGAUGCCCAUACUGCAUUCACUUGCACUGUUUGAGCAAGCUCUGAAAUCCUAGCCCACCCAAUUGGAACCCAGUAACUACCUUCAUAUCUUUCAAUUUGUCCUGAUUGAAACAUCUGACUGUCUUUGUCGUUGAAAGGAAGAUUUGCAUUGUCCCUCAACUCACUGAGGGAAGAGGAUUCCAACAUUCUGCUCCCAUCUAAGCUUAAGGAAGGCGAAUCAAUUAGUCCAUUUGUUGGCAUAUGCAUGUUCAAAUACUCACCAUCUGGCUCUCUGACUGGGGCUUUUGAACCCCAUUUUGCAUUCAUUGAUCUCUUAUGCCUAAAUAUGCACUCAAAAGCACAAAUGAUCCCAUCUAUCCAAAGAUCACUUGUCGGCUUGACAUCUCUAGUAGAGAAGUUUACAUGAUGUUCUGGUUUCUUCAUUUUAUUCUUUUAAGAAACUGAGCUAUCCUCCCCCGAAUGACUCAUUUUCUUUCAUUUAUGCUCGCGUACCAAAUAACUUGCAACCAAUAUUCUCAAAGCUCGACAUCAAUCAACAGAAGCUGACCAUUCCAGGAACGAGAAGAGAAUGUUCCAUCAGCAUGUAAAGAGUUACAAUUCAGUUCAGCAGCAAGAAACAUAUUCUUGCACAGCAUAAUNNNNNNNNNNNNNNNNNNNNNNNNNNNNNNNNNNNNNNNNNNNNNNNNNNNNNNNNNNNNNNNNNNNNNNNNNNNNNNNNNNNNNNNNNNNNNNNNNNNNNNNNNNNNNNNNNNNNNNNNNNNNNNNNNNNNNNNNNNNNNNNNNNNNNNNNNNNNNNNNNNNNNNNNNNNNNNNNNNNNNNNNNNNNNNNNNNNNNNNNNNNNNNNNNNNNNNNNNNNNNNNNNNNNNNNNNNNNNNNNNNNNNNNNNNNNNNNNNNNNNNNNNNNNNNNNNNNNNNNNNNNNNNNNNNNNNNNNNNNNNNNNNNNNNNNNNNNNNNNNNNNNNNNNNNNNNNNNNNNNNNNNNNNNNNNNNNNNNNNNNNNNNNNNNNNNNNNNNNNNNNNNNNNNNNNNNNNNNNNNNNNNNNNNNNNNNNNNNNNNNNNNNNNNNNNNNNNNNNNNNNNNNNNNNNNNNNNNNNNNNNNNNNNNNNNNNNNNNNNNNNNNNNNNNNNNNNNNNCAGGAAAAAAAAAAAAAACUAUUUAUUUCUCACAAGACAAAUAAAAAUCAACAUACCUUCAUUACUGCCAAAAUCUUCUAAUUGCUUAGCAAGUUUUUGCGGAGCCGUUGACAGAUUGCCCAGCUUACAAGUUAAAGAAGAUCCAAAAAAAAAAAAAAAAAGAAAGAAAAAGAAAAAGAAAAACAUUUAUGUUAGCAAACCGAGCAUAAAGCAAGGAAAAGACAACCGGCGCAAACUUUCCUAAAGAAUAGAUCACUGGAGUUUUCUUAUCAAAAGGUAGAACUACACGUCUUUAUACUUUCCACCAAAUAUUCGCAGGUGAUAAUUCAACCGACAGAAUCGUUCAAUAGUUAUUUCCAUUUUUUUUUUAAAAAAAAAAAAACGGAGACAAAAACAAAGCUCUCGUUGCAGAAUAAACCAGCUGAGAAACGGUGAAUUUGCGUGAAGAAAGCCUCGAUUUCUUCGAAUAAAAAAAUUUACUAAAAGCUGAACAAAUUAUGAAGAGCUAGGUUUACCAUAAAAUGAAAGAGAUGCGAUGAUCCUCACCAAAAAUUGGUAAGAAUUCCACAAACUCUCAUGCCAAGGAAAUACCGCUCAACACCUCCUUCCUUCCACCUACAAGAAGCACGCCACCUUUCUAAGAUCACACAUGAAGAAUUGAGAAAUCGACGAUCAAAUCCAAGAAACAACCUGAAUUUGUGAGCUCCAUAAUUGGAAGAUAAACCUGUAUUUACUAAAGGAAAAAGCCAUACCAUGACCAUGAACUGUGAUUGGUGGAGCUUCUGCUUUGUGCUUAUUCGGUCAAAAAAAUACAAAUAAAAAUUGGUUAAAAAGAAUAAUAUUUAUUAAUUUAAAAUUAAAUUAUUUAGAAGAAGAAUAUUUUUA